Molecule: ribosomal RNA, 260 nt
Filed under: uncultured bacterium
Lineage: Bacteria
Description: partial 16S ribosomal RNA
Rfam family: Bacterial small subunit ribosomal RNA
Source: RNAcentral
CGAACGGGUGAGUAACGCGUGAGUAACCUGCCCUGGAGUGGGGGGACGAACAGUUGGAAACGACUGCUAAUACCGCAUAAGCCCACGGAUCCGCAUGGAUCUGCGGGAAAAGGAUCUAUUCGCUUCAGGAUGGACUCGCGUCCAAUUAGCUAGUUGGUGAGGUAACGGCCCACCAAGGCGACGAUUGGUAGCCGGACUGAGAGGUUGAACGGCCACAUUGGGACUGAGACACGGCCCAGACUCCUACGGGAGGCAGCAUG